AAGAGAACGUGGGUUAGAGUGUGC
This 24-nucleotide non-coding RNA is filed under the name Gossypium hirsutum (cotton). Lineage: Eukaryota; Viridiplantae; Streptophyta; Magnoliopsida; Malvales; Malvaceae. The record is from RNAcentral.